UAAACGACUCUCGGCAACGGAUAUCUCGGCUCACGCAUCGAUGAAGAACGUAGCAAAAUGCGAUACUUGGUGUGAAUUGCAGAAUCCCGUGAACCAUCGAGUUUUUGAACGCAAGUUGCGCCCGAAGCCAUUCGGCCGAGGGCACGUCUGCCUGGGCGUCACAC
Molecule: ribosomal RNA, 164 nt
Filed under: Arctium minus
Lineage: Eukaryota; Viridiplantae; Streptophyta; Magnoliopsida; Asterales; Asteraceae
Also listed under: 10 other names
Description: 5.8S ribosomal RNA
Rfam family: 5.8S ribosomal RNA
About the family: 5.8S ribosomal RNA (5.8S rRNA) is a component of the large subunit of the eukaryotic ribosome.
Source: RNAcentral